CCUACGGGUGGCAGCAGUGGGGAAUAUUGGACAAUGGGGGGAACCCUGAUCCAGCCAUGCCGCGUGUGUGAAGAAGGCCCUCGGGUUGUAAAGCACUUUCAGUGAGGAAGAACGCCUGGUGGUUAAUACCCAUCAGGAAAGACAUCACUCACAGAAGAAGCACCGGCUAACUCCGUGCCAGCAGCCGCGGUAAUACGGAGGGUGCGAGCGUUAAUCGGAAUUACUGGGCGUAAAGCGCGCGUAGGUGGCUUGAUAAGCCGGUUGUGAAAGCCCCGGGCUCAACCUGGGAACGGCAUCCGGAACUGUCAAGCUAGAGUGCAGGAGAGGAAGGUAGAAUUCCCGGUGUAGCGGUGAAAUGCGUAGAGAUCGGGAGGAAUACCAGUGGCGAAGGCGGCCUUCUGGACUGACACUGACACUGAGGUGCGAAAGCGUGGGUAGCAAACAUGAUUAGAUACCCUAGUAGUC
RNAcentral lists this ribosomal RNA (465 nucleotides) under Vreelandella stevensii. RNAcentral describes it as "partial 16S ribosomal RNA". It matches the Rfam family "Bacterial small subunit ribosomal RNA", at positions 338 to 795 of the family's 1533-position model. Lineage: Bacteria; Pseudomonadati; Pseudomonadota; Gammaproteobacteria; Oceanospirillales; Halomonadaceae. The record is from RNAcentral.